GAUGAACGCUGGCGGCGUGCCUAAUACAUGCAAGUCGAGCGAACAGACGAGGAGCUUGCUCCUCUGACGUUAGCGGCGGACGGGUGAGUAACACGUGUAUAACCUACCUAUAAGACUGGGAUAACUUCGGGAAACCGGAGCUAAUACCGGAUAAUAUAUUGAACCGCAUGGUUCAAUAGUGAAAGACGGUUUUGCUGUCACUUAUAGAUGGAUCCGCGCCGUAUUAGAUAGUUGGUAAGGUAACGGCUUACCAAGGCAACGAUGCGUAGCCGACCUGAGAGGGUGAUCGGCCACACUGGAACUGAGACACGGUCCAGACGCCUACGGGAGGCAGCAGUAGCGAAUCUUACGCAAUGGGCGAAAGCUUGACGGAGCAACGCCGCGUGAGAGAUGAAGGUCUUCGGAUCGUAAAACUCUGUUAUUAGGGAAGAACAACUGUGUAAGUAACUAUGCACGUCUUGACGGUACCUAAUCAGAAAGCCACGGCUAACUACGUG
RNAcentral lists this ribosomal RNA (497 nucleotides) under uncultured bacterium. RNAcentral's name for it is "partial 16S ribosomal RNA". It matches the Rfam family "Bacterial small subunit ribosomal RNA", at positions 28 to 507 of the family's 1533-position model. The record is from RNAcentral.